AUUCCGUCCAAGGCUAAA
This 18-nucleotide small nuclear RNA is filed under the name Arabidopsis thaliana (thale cress). RNAcentral describes it as "snRNA_13503". Lineage: Eukaryota; Viridiplantae; Streptophyta; Magnoliopsida; Brassicales; Brassicaceae. The record is from RNAcentral.